Molecule: long non-coding RNA, 506 nt
Organism: Gallus gallus (chicken)
Lineage: Eukaryota; Metazoa; Chordata; Aves; Galliformes; Phasianidae
Exons: 4
Source: RefSeq, a predicted model, not a curated record
GGAAUCAGGCGGUGAGUUCAGGGGCUGCAGAGCGGGUGGCAGGCUGUCCGCACCGGGUGGCUGUGGGAAAGCUGCCACUGCCCCACUGGGGAUGUUCUUGCUUUCCCAGCAGUGACAACGAGCGCAGACAUCCCGGAGGACAUCGCGGACAUCCAUGAUCUCCUGGCAUGGCUCAACGACGAAGUGACAUCCAAGACAGGCAUCCUGUACGACACCGCAGACAUUGAUGACCUGCUCACGUGGAUCAACAACGAAGAGGCACCCAGCACCGACAGACUUGACAACGACGUGGAAAUUGACAAUUUGCUCACCUGGAUUGACGAAGCGGCGAGUGCUCUGGAGGUCCCCAGCACAACCAGGACCUGCCCGGUGUCACAAGAGAGGGGACCAAAGACACUGCGAACAGCUGCCAAAUGGAAGAGCUGAUGCAGUGCAUCACUGCCACGGAGCCACUGAGCCCAGAUGUCUCCAGCAGCCUCGACUCCUCUUCUUCCAGCACAGAGCAC